This 880-nucleotide small RNA is filed under the name Pan troglodytes (chimpanzee). RNAcentral's name for it is "processed transcript". The record is from RNAcentral. Lineage: Eukaryota; Metazoa; Chordata; Mammalia; Primates; Hominidae.
CUGUGGCGCAUCCUCAGUGAGGAGGGCCGACCUGCACCCGUCGCCGGCCCCGGUCUCCAGGGGCUUCACCCGAGUCAUGCCCCGCUAUUGCGCAGCGAUUUGUUGUAAGAACCGCCGGGGACGAAACAAUAAAGACCGGAAGCUGAGUUUUUAUCCGGAAAAGACCCUUCUAAAAAAAAAUCCCAGAAGAAAAACUUGGAAGAUGAGAAAGAAGUAUGCCCAAAAGCCAAGUCAGAAGAAUCAUUUGUAUUAAAUGAGACAAAGAAAAAUAUAGUUAACACAGAUGUGCCCCAUCAACAUCCAGAAUUACUUCAUUCAUCUUCCUUGGUAAAGCCACCAGCUCCCAAAACAGGAAGUAUACAAAAUAACAUGUUAACUCUUAAUCUAGUUAAACAACAUACUGGGAAACCAGAAUCUAUCUUGGAAACAUCAGUUAACCAAGAUACAGGUAGAGGUGGUUUUCACACAUGUUUUGAGAAUCUAAAUUCUACAACUAUUACUUUGACAACUUCAAAUUCAGAAAGUAUUCAUCAAUCUUUGGAAACUCAAGAAGUUCUUGAAGUAACUACCAGUCAUCUUGCUAAUCCAAACUUUACAAGUAAUUCAAUGGAAAUAAAGUCAGCACAGGAAAAUCCAUUCUUAUUCAGCACAAUUAAUCAAACAGUUGAAGAAUUAAACACAAAUAAAGAAUCUGUUAUUGCCAUUUUUGUACCUGCUGAAAAUUCUAAACCCUCAGUUAAUUCUUUUAUAUCUGCACAAAAAGAAACCACGGAAAUGGAAGACACAGACAUUGAAGACUCCUUGUAUAAGGAUGUAGACUAUGGGACAGAAGUUUUACAAAUCGAACAUUCUUACUGCAGACAAGAUAUAAAUAAGGAAC